RNAcentral lists this ribosomal RNA (253 nucleotides) under uncultured bacterium. RNAcentral describes it as "partial 16S ribosomal RNA". It matches the Rfam family "Bacterial small subunit ribosomal RNA", at positions 524 to 776 of the family's 1533-position model. The record is from RNAcentral.
UACGAAGGGGGCUAGCGUUGCUCGGAAUCACUGGGCGUAAAGGGUGCGUGGGCGGGUCUUUAAGUCAGGGGUGAAAUCCUGGAGCUCAACUCCAGAACUGCCUUCGAUACUGGAAGACUUGAGUCCGGGAGAGGUGAGUGGAACUGCGAGUGUAGAGGUGAAAUUCGUAGAUAUUCGCAAGAACACCAGUGGCGAAGGCGGCUCACUGGCCCGGUACUGACGCUGAGGUGCGAAAGCGUGGGGAGCAAACAGG